CCUACGGGAGGCAGCAGUGGGGAAUAUUGGGCAAUGGACGCAAGUCUGACCCAGCAACGCCGCGUGAAGGAAGAAGGCUUUCGGGUUGUAAACUUCUUUUAAGGGGGAAGAGCAGAAGACGGUACCCCUUGAAUAAGCCACGGCUAACUACGUGCCAGCAGCCGCGGUAAUACGUAGGUGGCAAGCGUUGUCCGGAUUUAUUGGGCGUAAAGCGAGUGCAGGCGGUUCAAUUAGUCUGAU
Molecule: ribosomal RNA, 240 nt
Filed under: uncultured bacterium
Lineage: Bacteria
Description: partial 16S ribosomal RNA
Rfam family: Bacterial small subunit ribosomal RNA
Source: RNAcentral